CUUCUUAAUUAUGUAUGCAUCGUUUGUAGCCUACACCUAGAGAAGGAUGACCUGUGCUCUUUGCUUAUAGCCAGAAGAAAGCUAAGAGAGUAGUCCAUGCGAUCAUAUUGACAUAAAUUACAUGUACAUAUUACAUAUAUAGUGUCUAAAUAAUCGUUUAGCUCGUACUUGAGUGUACGUGUAGUCAUUUUGAUUUCAUUGUUUAACAUUUUAAUAUGUAUUUUAGUUGUGAGUUUUGAUCAGCACAUUCACAUUCAUAAUUGGAUCAGACAAAGCUACGAAGAAAGGUCUACUGCGAGCAGCAUUAUCAUCCCUCUUAUAUUCGUACAUAAAGUCUACAGAUGGCCACCUUAGUCGUCUAAUUCCCGCUGCGAUUGAAUCUCC
Drosophila guanche is the source of this 384-nucleotide long non-coding RNA. RefSeq lists it as uncharacterized. The transcript has 3 exons. The record is from RefSeq and is a predicted model, not a curated record. Lineage: Eukaryota; Metazoa; Arthropoda; Insecta; Diptera; Drosophilidae.